GUGGGGAAUAUUGGGCAAUGGGCGAAAGCCUGACCCAGCAACGCCGCGUGAGGGAAGAAGGCCUUCGGGUUGUAAACCUCUGUCCUUGGUGACGAAAAAAAUGACGGUAGCCAAGGAGGAAGCCCCGGCUAACUACGUGCCAGCAGCCGCGGUAAUACGUAGGGGGCGAGCGUUGUCCGGAAUUACUGGGCGUAAAGGGUGCGUAGGUGGCCUUUUAAGUUGGAUGUGAAAUCCCCGGGCUUAACUUGGGUGGUGCAUCUAAUACUGGAGGGCUAGAGUGCAGGAGAGGGAAGCGGAAUUCCUAGUGUAGCGGUGAAAUGCGUAGAUAUUAGGAGGAACACCAGUGGCGAAGGCGGCUUUCUGGACUGUAACUGACACUGAGGCACGAAAGCGUGGGGAGCAAACAGGAUUAGAUACCCCUGUAGUCC
Molecule: ribosomal RNA, 428 nt
Filed under: uncultured bacterium
Lineage: Bacteria
Description: partial 16S ribosomal RNA
Rfam family: Bacterial small subunit ribosomal RNA
Source: RNAcentral